GCGCCUAACACAUGCAAGUCGAACGGAGCUGAGAGGAGCUUGCUUUUCUUAGCUUAGUGGCGAACGGGUGAGUAACGCGUGAGUAACCUGCCCUGGAGUGGGGGACAACAGUUGGAAACGACUGCUAAUACCGCAUAAGCCCACGAUCCGGCAUCGGAUUGAGGGAAAAGGAUUUAUUCGCUUCAGGAUGGACUCGCGUCCAAUUAGCUAGUUGGUGAGGUAACGGCCCACCAAGGCGACGAUUGGUAGCCGGACUGAGAGGUUGAACGGCCACAUUGGGACUGAGACACGGCCCAGACUCCUACGGGAGGCAGCAGUGGGGGAUAUUGCACAAUGGGGGAAACCCUGAUGCAGCGACGCCGCGUGGAGGAAGAAGGUUUUCGGAUUGUAAACUCCUGUCGUUAGGGACGAUAAUGACGGUACCUAACAAGAAAGCACCGGCUAACUACGUGCCAGCAGCCGCGGUAAAACGUAGGGUGCAAGCGUUGUCCGGAAUUACUGGGUGUAAAGGGAGCGCAGGCGGACCGGCAAGUUGGAAGUGAAAACUAUGGGCUCAACCCAUAAAUUGCUUUCAAAACUGCUGGCCUUGAGUAGUGCAGAGGUAGGUGGAAUUCCCGGUGUAGCGGUGGAAUGCGUAGAUAUCGGGAGGAACACCAGUGCGAAGGCGACCUACUGGGCACCAACUGACGCUGGGGCUCGAAAGCAU
RNAcentral lists this ribosomal RNA (706 nucleotides) under uncultured Lachnospiraceae bacterium. RNAcentral's name for it is "bacterial SSU rRNA". It matches the Rfam family "Bacterial small subunit ribosomal RNA", at positions 44 to 762 of the family's 1533-position model. Lineage: Bacteria; Bacillati; Bacillota; Clostridia; Lachnospirales; Lachnospiraceae. The record is from RNAcentral.